Molecule: ribosomal RNA, 253 nt
Filed under: uncultured bacterium
Lineage: Bacteria
Description: partial 16S ribosomal RNA
Rfam family: Bacterial small subunit ribosomal RNA
Source: RNAcentral
UACGAAGGGGGCUAGCGUUGUUCGGAAUCACUGGGCGUAAAGCGCACGUAGGCGGAUGUGCCAGUCAGGUGUGAAAUCCCGGAGCUCAACUCCGGAACUGCCUCUGAUACAGCACGUCUUGAGUUCGAGAGAGGUGGGUGGAAUUCCUAGUGUAGAGGUGAAAUUCGUAGAUAUUAGGAAGAACACCGGUGGCGAAGGCGGCCCACUGGCUCGAUACUGACGCUGAGGUGCGAAAGCGUGGGGAGCAAACAGG